Molecule: long non-coding RNA, 2205 nt
Filed under: Homo sapiens (human)
Lineage: Eukaryota; Metazoa; Chordata; Mammalia; Primates; Hominidae
Description: HSALNT0140862
Source: RNAcentral
GUCCAGGUCAAUAUAGGGCCUUAUAAUUUUCAUGUUUUACAAGAACAUGUUUAUUAUAAUAGUUUUAACAACCCAUAAUCCUUUGUUUCCAAAGAAGCAGGAUUGCAGGCCACCUUUUGCAGGCCCAGCCCAGGUUUGGAACAAGGCUUCCUCUGCAAAAGCUGGAUGCUGUGAGCUCUGUCAGCUGCAAUGCUCUACCCCACACCUGCCUGGGUUUCCGGAGUGCAUACUCUAUUUGGGAGCAAUGCCUGCCUUGAACUCCAACAGUAUUUUGUCAGCAUCUUUCCCCAAAGACUAAACUCUACAGCCUAUAUCAAGUAUCAGCCACUGGAGAAAGCCGAGAAAUGGAGAAAUUGAGAAACUUGGCAACACAUCCAGUAAAGAGCUGAAGCUUUUAUAACAGCACAAUACAGGAACAAAAAGGAUAGCUUUGGGGAAUGCCAGCCUUUCCAAGGCAAGUGUGAAGAUUACACAUCUCUGCUCACUCCCCUUGCCACAGAGAGAAGAAACAUGACUAGUGGAGUCAAUGCGGCAGUGAGCAGCAGGGAUCCUGUCAUUUCUGAGCUGAAGCAUUUCAAUGUUUGUUUAGAACCCUCCACCAUUCUCGCCUGCCACAUGGACUGAGGAGGCUUUGUGUUCCAGAUGGCAAAGCCACAGGGUGGUGGUGUCUCUGUCUGUGUGGAUCGCUGAGCCAGGCCAUGAAGUGAAGCUGCCUUAGAAGUUACCCAGGCCUGCAGCAGGAGCUGAAAUUCAACAUAUUGCCCUAAGAAGCAUCCAAAGCAAUUGUGUAUCUGCAGAUGCUUAUUGUGUCUACUGGGAGAUGGGGUGAGAGUGGAGGCUUUUCUUCCUGUUGAAAGAAGAAAGAAGGUUGUUGGCAUCUGGACUCAUGCCUCUACUUAGGUCCAGACUCAAACUCCCACUCCCUGGGAGGCAGUGACUGGGUGGCAAGACAGAAUGAGAGAUGCAGUGAGAACAUCUGGCUGAAGUGACAAGCAGCCACGCUGACUGCUGGUGUGCAGUUCUGAUGACAACCAAGGCAACUUCACACAUGACUGCACAAAGUUAAUUUAACAUGUUUGACUCUGCCAUUUCAUCCUAGUACCAUAGAUAAGAUUUUUUGAGUAAUUACUAUGUACCAGGCCCUAUUCUAAGUUCUUUGUGAAUAUUAAUUAGUUUAAUCCUUGAAGCCACCUCACUAUUGUGUCCAUUUUAUAGAUAAGGAAACUAAGGCCCAAGGAGGUUACACUAAUUACCGAAGGUCAAAUUAAUGACAGAGUCUGGCUCCAGAGUCCACACUUUUAACCAGAGUGCAACAGAAUCUGAACGUUACCCUUAUAACCAAACAGUUCACAGUAGUGUUCUGAGUUUUACUCCUAGAAAGAAAACACACACACACAGUCCCCCAUCCCUCUGUCCGACAGAUAAAUCCAAAACCUGCUGCCAGCUUACAAUUAGCUUGAAACUGCUUCUGGACCAAGUGUGGUGGCUCAUGCGUGUAAUCCCAGCACUUUGGGAGGCCAAGGUGGGAGGAUUGUUUGAAUCCAGGAGUUCAAAACUAGCCUGGGCAACACGGUGAAAUCCUGUCUCUACAAAAAUUACAAAAAUUAGCUGGGUGAGGGGGCGGAUAGCAGGUGCUUGUGGUCCCAGCUACUUGAAAGGCUGAGGUGGGAGGAUCACUUGAGCCCAGGAGGUCAAGGCUGCAGUGAGCCGUGAUCAUGACACUGCACUCCAGCCUGGGCAACAGAGUGAGACCUUGUCUCAAAAAAGACAAGAAAGAAAAGGAAAUAAAAAGAAAAGAACUGCUUCAGAUUAUCAAGGUUUCAGGAAUGCUGAUGUCCAGCCUCAGAAACUGCUUCUGCUUGUUUGUCUCUGAUAUGGGUUGGCUCUGUGUCCCCACCCAAAUCUCAUGUUGAAUUGUAAUCCCCACUUGUUGAAGGAGGAACCUGGAGGAAGAUGAUUGGAUCAUGGAAGCGGUUUCUCCCAUGCUGUUCUCAUGAUAGUGAGUGAGCUCUCACAAGAUCUGAUGGUUUAAAAGUGUGUGGCAGUUGCCCGCUUGUUCUCUGUCUCUCCUGCUCCACCAUGGUAAGACGUGCCACCUUCCCCUCCACCUUCUACCAUGAUUGAAAGUUUCCUGAGGCCUCCUAACCAUUCUUCCUGCACAGCCUGUGGAACUGUGAGUCAAUUAAACCUCUUUUCUUCAUAAAU